Molecule: transfer RNA, 74 nt
Filed under: Bacteroidetes bacterium 4484_276
Lineage: Bacteria; Pseudomonadati; Bacteroidota
Description: tRNA-Arg
Rfam family: tRNA
About the family: Transfer RNA (tRNA) molecules are approximately 80 nucleotides in length. Their secondary structure includes four short double-helical elements and three loops (D, anti-codon, and T loops). Further hydrogen bonds mediate the characteristic L-shaped molecular structure. tRNAs have two regions of fundamental functional importance: the anti-codon, which is responsible for specific mRNA codon recognition, and the 3' end, to which the tRNAs corresponding amino acid is attached (by aminoacyl-tRNA synthetases). tRNAs cope with the degeneracy of the genetic code in two manners: having more than one tRNA (with a specific anti-codon) for a particular amino acid; and 'wobble' base-pairing, i.e. permitting non-standard base-pairing at the 3rd anti-codon position.
Source: RNAcentral
GGCUCCGUAGCAUAAUUGGAUAGUGCACCUGACUACGGAUCAGGAGGUUGUGGGUUCGAGUCCCUCCGGAGUCA